GCCAGCCAGCGCCGGCACUUCGGCGGGAGGAAGGAAGCACCUAAGGCGCUGGGGGCGGAAACGCUGAGGUGGAGGGGUGCGCCUCAGGCGAGAGCUGGCCGGCGCCGACUGGGCCUGGGGCAGCGGCCGCAGCUCCCCGCCCGGGACCGCGCACAAAGGCCUGAGGUCCGGGCCGCACUCACCGAAGUCCAGGAACUGCUUCAUGGAGAGCGGGGACGGCGAGAAGCGCGCGUAGAAGUCCACCUGGCCCGGAACGCCGCGCUCGGACGCCGGGCUGGAGUCCGAGUCCGAGCUGAAGCUGCGGCUGGGGCCGGCGGCGCGCAGCCCCGGGCCCGGGCCGGCCAAGGCGGCUCCGCGAAGCAGCCGCGCCAGCCUCAUGCCGAGUCCCGCUAGAGAAGCCACAGCCCGGGCUCCAGGUUUCCCCGCUCCUCUGCCGAGUGGGUUGAAGGCAAAUACUUGAAGUUGCAAUCCAAGGUCAGGAAAAAGGAAUCAAGAGGUCACAAUCCUUCUCUGAUGAUGGCUCAGAAAGCUGGAAGACACUCAACAUUGAAUCCUGGGGCUCCGUGCCAUGCUUGCUAGGAGAAACAGCCACCGUGAGUCCAUGUUUCAGAUCUCAAGUGAACAGUCAUUCUCCAGCUGGGAUUGAGAACAAGGGGAAGCUGGCCAUAGAGCCAGAUGGCCAAAGAUGGAAGACAAAGGGUGGGCUGUGAUUCCCAGAGCUCCAAGCCUUGAUCUGUCUUGUCACACCAACUGUUACUGAUGAACAGAAAAGAUUUUCUUGGAAUUCCUAUGCCCCUGGCCUUGACUCUGGAGCCAGGGGUCAGAUGACUCACAGCUGAAGCAGUAUGGCUGCUAUUAAAACAUGCCAGAGGAGAGCUUACUACGGCCACUAUUAUUAAGAGUAUCAUUAACGGUGUCAAAAUUCUUGUCAAAAAUCCUGUGUUGCCCC
Molecule: non-coding RNA, 949 nt
Filed under: Pongo abelii (Sumatran orangutan)
Lineage: Eukaryota; Metazoa; Chordata; Mammalia; Primates; Hominidae
Source: RNAcentral